AUGAGCCGUUGGGAUACGUACGUACGUAGGUGCAUCUAUAAAAGGGAGGGUGGUGAGCCCCUUAGAAGACACCACCCAAAGCACACGAGAUCAACCAACGCUAGUUCUCUCUUCUUUAUACGCGCGCCAACGGUAAUGGCCGCAGCUGCAGGCUUGGUAUGGGCGACCUUGCUCAUGUGCGUUGCGCUCGGCGCCGCGCAAACUGAACUUACGAGCUUCCAGAGACUACUCCUUGCCAACUUCUUUCCUCAAGGUUCCGUGCCAUCGCCGGUGAGGAUAUACUGCAGGCAGGACGCCGCGCUGAACGUGGCCAUAGUCGGCGGCAAGGUUGUCCUCGCAAACGCCAAGUGCAGUGACUGGUCACAGAAAUGGUACGUUGUGUACACCGACUCCACCUUGUUCAACGGAAAGUUUGAGCUUAAGCCCUUCUCCCUGGUGAAUGCACAGACGCUUCAGGUCAUCACGGUCACGAUCCCAUCAGGCAGUUCACAGAAGGUGGAACUGUACAGCCCGCCUAGCUCCCCGUGGGAGCUGCAGAGGUUGCAGAACUGGCUGCAAAAUGCACGCGAGGAGCUGUGGACGCCGGAGCAACCCAAGUCGCCGGAGCCCACACGUACCGAAGGCUUUUACAGACUGUUUGCUACCAAAAACAAUGAGAAGACAGCUUUUCACCUCAACGGCCUCGGGGGCGGCGUAAAAGUCGGAACGGAGGUCGGGAUCUAUUCUGGAGCAUCAAAUACAGAGAACGCCCUAUGGCAGCUGACUUCAGACACCGCCCUCUGUGCCCCCUGA
Molecule: ribosomal RNA, 792 nt
Filed under: Triticum aestivum (bread wheat)
Lineage: Eukaryota; Viridiplantae; Streptophyta; Magnoliopsida; Poales; Poaceae
Description: partial small subunit ribosomal RNA
Source: RNAcentral